Long non-coding RNA from Mus caroli (Ryukyu mouse), 1119 nucleotides. RefSeq lists it as uncharacterized. NCBI's taxonomy places the organism in Eukaryota, Metazoa, Chordata, Mammalia, Rodentia, Muridae. The record is from RefSeq and is a predicted model, not a curated record.
GAUUCACCUGGUAAAAUGGGAGAAGUCAGACAAACUGAACCUGAGCACAGAGACUGAGGCAGGAACCAGAAGGCCAACAAGGGAACGUAAGCACGUCCUCCACAAAUACAGCUUUCAGAAGACAAGACUUUAGUUUCUAUCAUCUCAUCUGAUGGCUCACAACUGUGAAAGUGGAAGGAAGCCUCAAAGCAACAUCUGAGUUUGUCUUCUGACCUCCACAUUUGCUUGCUGUGUGCACAUCCACCUAUUGUUGGGAUGACAUUCCUUACUUGGUAUGAAGGUAUCUCUGGAUAAAAUGGCUAAGGGUCCUGGAAUGCCUACUGCACAACCAAUGUGUUAGCCAGUGUUGCAGCCUGGUACAUCUAUCAAGAAACCCAUGUCACAGAUGGAGGUAGAUGCAUGGAGCUCUCACAAGGCAGACAGAGGAGAGGCCCUCAACAAUAAUCAAGAGACACUGUUUAAAUUUGGCAUUUAACUCAGCCAAGAACAUAUGUACAUAAAGUUUAUCCCAGUCAAACUAAACUCCUGAAGUCCGGUGGCGCCAGUGCUCAGCAAGAUUGCAGAAAGCAUGACAGGAUCCAGGAAAACAUGGUACUGGAUGAGCAAAGAGUUCUACAAAGGCUAACCAGAGAAGAAUAUCUCACAGGAAGCAAGGUUUAUGUUCUGUAACAACUGCUCUCAUCGAUCCAGGCAAGCUACCAUUCUCCAUGCAGCUUCACAGGAAAUUGGAACUUUGGAGAAUUACUCCAAGAAAGCCAUAAAAUAUGAAGAGCUGUAAAGGUACUAGGAAAUGUUCUUUUGACUCAAACUGCACACUAUUGACUGGAUAUGCUCAGAGAUGACCUGGAAUAGAUUGACUCUGUGCAGAGAGAGAGAAGAGGAACCCUCAGUCAUCCAGGUGCAUUUGCUUAUAUGAAUCCAGCCUAAUGGAAGAAGACCCAGUUCUUCCAUGAGGAAGAAGAGCUCCUCCUCAUUGUGAGCAUAACAAAAUUCCGGGCCUCCUUUCUGGAGAGGAAUGAUGAUGUGAGUUACGUGAUGCUCCUCUCCAACCUGCCAAGAGGAAACAACUUGUCACAAUUCUUAGAGGUCUCAGACCCCUUCUUUUACAACACACAUGAA